RNAcentral lists this ribosomal RNA (301 nucleotides) under uncultured bacterium. RNAcentral describes it as "partial 16S ribosomal RNA". It matches the Rfam family "Bacterial small subunit ribosomal RNA", at positions 509 to 807 of the family's 1533-position model. The record is from RNAcentral.
CAGUCGCCGCGGGAAUACGAAGGGUGCAAGCGUUAAUCGGAAUUACUGGGCGUAAAGCGUGCGUAGGCGGUUUGUUAAGUCUGUUGUGAAAUCCCCGGGCUCAACCUGGGAAUGGCAAUGGAUACUGGCAAGCUAGAGUGUGUCAGAGGAUGGUGGAAUUCCCGGUGUAGCGGUGAAAUGCGUAGAGAUCGGGAGGAACAUCAGUGGCGAAGGCGGCCAUCUGGGACAACACUGACGCUGAGGCACGAAAGCGCGGGGAGCAAACAGGAUUAGAUACCCCUGUAGUCCCUGUCUAUUAUAC